UUUUGGGGUGUUCUGUAAUUCAAAGCCUCAGCGCCAUGUUUCGCGCCCUAGCUCUGAAUUUCGCGCCUCAGCGCCAAAAAUAGCCCAAAACUUCACGCCCCAGCACUGAAAUUCGUGCCCGAGCACUAGAAUUCAUGCCCCAGUGCCACUGUCUCGCGCCCCAGCGCUGAAAAAGUGGUCUGGGUCGAACAGUUUUGACCUCAUGUAGUAAAAUGGCCAUAACGUUUUCAUACGAACUCCGAUUGAGGUGAUUCAAGAUGAUCCGAAACGAGGACGAAUAGACCUACAACUUUUAUUCUUUAAGUUUUGCAAUUUGAGGUCGGUAACAGGGGUCAAAAUGGUCUUUUGUGGGACUUAUAUGUAUUAGGAGGCAAUCGGAGGGCAUCAGGAAUGCACAUAUGCAAAUAUAGUGCUCCUGACGAUAAAAGAUGUUGUCCUAUGUUAUAAAACAUGAGUAUUAGUAAAUAUAAGAUGCUUAACAUUAAUAAAUGAUGUAUUAGACAAGUUGUAUAAGCAUACUAAGCACACAUAUGAAAGACGAAUCGGGCGUGUGACGAAAGAACGUCGAAAUGCCGUGCCAAGUGUUAAUGAACUUAAAAAGUGUUUCAAUUCAAUUGAAAUGAAUAUUAUAAGAUAUGGAAUGGAUUUAAUAUAAAACCAAUAAGUAGUCCUAGCAAGACUUAAGCACUUGAAUGAACUUCGACUUUGACUAAGAAGAAAUAUAGUGAGUUAUAAGUCUAAAGUUAACACAAUCAAAUUGAACAUUGUGUAUUGAUUAAUAGGAAGGGUUGUAGGAUGUAGAUUAAAGUUUAUAUUAUAACUACUAUGCGUUGCUAUGUGACUAAUAGUUGAUCUGAAUUAUUAUAUAAUUGUGUAGGGCACGUAAAGUACAGAUAACUGUAAGCAGUUAAACUGUUAUUGGUAAACAACAAUCAAGGCAAGUCUUUCAGUUCCUAUUUGCUAUGUGAAUUUGAUUGUUUUAAAUCUUUAUUUGCAAAGAGCAGGAUGUGUUAUAUAUAUGUUGAAUGUAUGAAAUGUUGAAGUCAAUUUAUGACUACGUUGUUUGACUAAAGCAUGCUGAUUGAGUAAGGAACUCAAUCUUUAUAAUUGUUAUAUGAAUUGUAGCAUGUAUGUUAUGUUAGUCCGAUGUUUAUAAGAUAUAUGUUGAGCAUGUUAUUAUGUGCUACAUGAUGCAUGAAAACUGUUAGAUUUUGCUGGGCUGUCGAGCUCAACCUUGCCAAUAACCACUUUUGCAGGUUCAAGAUUCAAGGUAAAGUUAUGUCUUACUUGAAAGAUAUGAAUCAGAUGUGAUACUUGAAGAAUUAUAUACUUUGGCUGAGUUAUGAUUAUUUGAACCAUGCUUAAGGUUCCGAACAACGUAUAAAUGUUGAAUUGUAAUAACAUUUUGCGAUGUAAACUAUUGUAGUAUUAAAAUGAUUCUGAGAUAUUUAGAUGUAAAGGUUGAAGGUUUUGGGAACGACGAUUGUUUGUAAUAGAAAAUUUUAAUUAUUCCGCAAAUUUCAAUGGUUAUAUUAUCGUUUAAUGAUGUAAAAUUAGAGGUUGAAUGAAUUAUUAACGACCGAAGUCGAGAAUUAAAUUGUAUGAAUUUUGGGAUUGUUUCAGUUGGUAUCAAAGCUGAUAGGUUAGAAACCUUAGGUAAGAGUACCUUAGGCUAUAACCUUAGAGAAGAGAGGUUAUGAUAAUAAAGAAUAAGUUCAGAUAGAGUUUGCACAAUAAGAAGUAAUUUAAGAAACUUAUAAAGAAGGGAUUAAAACAUGAGUAAGAAGAUUCAAAGAAGAAUCUCACAGAGUUAUAAGGAAUAUGAACGUGGGGUUACCCAACUCCAAUAAUAAGGAUGUAAGGUGAUAAUAAAUAGACAAUGUCUGUAAGAAGAGAAUGAUAAAGAAGUUAUGAAUAAAAGGUUAUAUUUAAGUAUGGUACAGUUGUACUCUUUAAUAGUUGAUGUAUGGUAUCUGGGCUAAACGAUUCCUUCAUAGAGCGGAGGUAUAUACGAACUAGCAACUCGGAACCUAGUUUGUUGGUUGUUUGUGGGAAACCACUCAGCGUACCAUAUUGAAACUAUUAGAGACUCGAUGUGUACCAAGUGUAGAAAAUGGUUACGUAUGAUGAUAAUGUGGAACUCGAAUGAAAUGUUGAGCAAUGUAAAUAAAGUUAGAGAUUCUUAAAGGAUGAAGUGUUAUAUAAACAAGAAGAUUCAAAGAAGAAUCUUGAAGAGAUAUAAAGAUAAGAAAUGGGAGUUACCUUAACUCCAAUAACCAAGAUAAUGAAUAAUGAUGACUACACAAAAUCUGGAAGAUUAAAAGCAUAAACGAAAUCUUAAAUGAUGAAAAAGGAAAUAAAGAUGAUCGUAAAACAAAACGAUCACGAGUGAAGAAAAGAAUUUUAAGGGAGAUGAUUAUAGAAUAAGAUCACGACGUGAUCUGUUUAAGUUAUAAAAGAAAGAUGGUCUGUAAUGUUUGAAUAAUUAUAGCUUGAUUCUAUGUACUAUGAAAUAGUACGAGAUAAACUCAAGAGGAGUGAUACGAGGAAUUCGUAUUGAGCAAGUUAAGGGUAAGUUGUUAAGAGUAAGAUAGAGUUAGGUGGGAUUUCAAUUGAGGACUCAUGUGAUGGCUGAGUUGUACAAACCUUUGUAUGGGCGAGGGUUUUGUGCUUGCAUUCAAUUUAUUACAUUGAUAAUCAUUGGAAUGUCGGUGUCGCGCUAUCAAUGUAUGUGUGGUGAAAAGGUGAUUCUUUUCUCAUAUGUAUAUUUGAUAGUUAAGAACUAUUAAGAUUAAUCAGAUAUUAUUAGGAUUAGGUGUGGUUCUUAAAAUUAAUGCAUAUGGUAAGUUCGUGACUCAUAAUAAUAUGGUAUGUUUUGAAUCCCUUAGCGAAUGGACGCCUAUGGUCUGACUAGGAUAAGUUCUUAAACUCAUAUUAUUAUGGCAAGUUCCUGAACUUCCAAUGUGCGGUAAGUUUGAUGAACUAUUUUGGGUAGAAAACGGUUAUAGUAUAAAGAGCAUUGAUGAAGUUGAAGAUUGAUAGAAUGGUUAAGUAAUGAAGUAAUGAAGUAAAGAUUGAAGUUGAUGGAUACCUGGAUAUUCUAAAUCUACUAGCUAUGUUAGACUUUCGUAAUUUAUUGACUUCGUGCUGAUGUUUGCACUUCUAUUUUCUUGAAAAACAUUGGAUCAAAUGAUGAAACCAAUGAGUUUUAAAAAUAAUACCGUUAUUCGUAUGUCUAUGCUAAUUGCUUCGGCAAGACAAAAAUAAUUUGAAAUAUAUCAAAAUAUAUUUUUUUAUAUCAUCAAUGCAUCAUGUAACCUGGUGCAGAGAUGAUAAAAAUGAUGGAGUCAUCAAUGUAGUAUUACUUAGUGUUGGAUGUGAUCUAAGGAUCGUCAGCCCACUAUGGUAUGAUGUAGUAUGAUAAAAUCACUAAAUGACGGAAUCCUCAAAUGGACUGUAAAUACAGUGCGGUAUCAUGACGUCAUAAAAAGAUUUUUGAGAUUCUUUGAGAUAUGAGAAUAUAUAUAUAAAUAUAUAUAUAUAUAUAUAUAUAUAUAUAUGUAUAUGUAUAUUUCGAUUGAUGUCUGAAUUGUUGUAGAAGUCUAUGCUAUUUGAUUCAGCUAGACGAUUAUUGAAAGAUGUUCAUGAAAUUCAAGCGUUUCUUGAAAAGUUAUGCCAAACCAAAUUAUUUUGGUGCGGAUUCAGAUGUUGAAAAGCUGAGAUGAACAACCCUUUUAUAUGGGAUUACGCGGAGGCAUUUAGAUGAUUGUGCACAGUACAUUGUACGAAGGGAUGAUCACCCUAAGUACAAGGAGUCUCUAUAGUCUAAUGACUGUUAAAGUUUAAGUUGAAAGAUAACUUAUAACUAUGGACAUACGCAUAACGUUUAAAUGUUUAUGCACAAUACAUCAUACGAAGGGCUUAACACCUUAAGUACGGGAGUCCCUAUAGUCUAAUGACUGUUAAGGUUUCAGUUGAAAGAGUACUUAUAACCGUGGACGUAGUUCAAGGUCUUAUGACCCUCAACCUGAUUUGGAAUCUUUUAAAUUUCUGUUAUUCAUUUCGCUUCCCAAUUAUUAAGCAAUUGAGGAAGAUUCUUGUAAUUCUAAAAGGUGAAUGUGGUAAGGAUAAUAUUCCUUAGAAAGAAGUCAGUUGUAGAAUGCGACACUUAAUGAUGAAUAUAUUGAAUAAGUGAGAAAAGAAAUUUUUAAAUGAGAAGGAAAUGAGUUAUCAAAGAAUAAUGUAAAAGUUUUAAUAGAAAAGUUUAAUAAUUGUAGAAAGAUCUUUAUGGAAAGAAGUGGUUAUAGAACCCAAUGAAUGAAUAAAGUAUUAACAUAAAAUCUAUUUUAUUAAAUUGAAUGAAUAAUGAUUAAUAAAUAAAAUUUUGAGGACGAAAUUCUUAGAAGAAUGGGUGAAUGUAAUAUCCCGAGUGUUUAUGAUAACGAUCCUUAGCAAAGGAAAUGAAUGGGUUAAAGAGUAUAUAAUACUCAAAAUAUAAUUGAGUUCAAGUGAAAGUUAUGAAAUAAAACCUAGAAUUUGUUGAAGUAAUGAAUCUAGUAGGAAAUAUAAAAUCUAUAUUAAGGUAAUGUAUUGAAGAUAUUCAACGAUAAAUUUUUGAAAAGAGACUUGGUGAAAACCUGGGUAAGGAGGUUUCUUUGAUUCUGAGGACGGAAUCUUUAUAAGGAGGGAAGGAUGUGACAAACCAAAUUUUCAUAAGUUAUUAAAAUAAGAAUUUAAUAAUUGAAAUUCUUAUUACGAUAUGAUUAAUGUAACAACCUAGAAUUUUAUUUAUAAUUAUAAAUAUUUAUUAAAUUAUAUAAAUAUUUAAUGGAUGUGUUUAUUGUUGAAUGAAUAUUUGUUUAAUUUGGUUUGAUUUGAUUUGGUUAAUUAUUUGUUUAAUAAAUAAUUAAUGGGUUAAGGAAAUUAAUUAUUAUGAGAUAAUAUUCUAAUUUAAUUUAAUAAUUAAGUUAGAGAGUUUAUAAUGAUUAAAUUAUUUAUUCAAUAAAUUGUUAUUACAAUUAAUUAAAUUAUGUAUGAAAACUUAAUUAAAUAAAGUGUGAUAAAUAACUAUAUGAUAAAUGAGUUAUUAAAAUAAAUUAAAGGAGUUUAAUUUAGUUUUGCCAAACAAGGCUUAAAUAUAUUAAGUCUUUAAUUUUUAAAGGGUUUUUCCAAACAAAGCCUUAUGGCUUUUGGGAUUUCUAAUUUUUGAAUUUUAAAAAAACAAUUAAAAUAAAUUAAAAUAAUAAAUAUAAUAUAUUUAUAAUAUAUACGUUUAUUUUUGUAAUUGUCAUUAUAUUAAGUAUGUAUUAUAGCUAGCCUNNNNNNNNNNNNNNNNNNNNNNNNNNNNNNNNNNNNNNNNNNNNNNNNNNNNNNNNNNNNNNNNNNNNNNNNNNNNNNNNNNNNNNNNNNNNNNNNNNNNUAUACUGAAAAGAGAGAAGAGAAGAGAGCUUGACAGUGAGAAUUGAGAUAAGAGCUUGAGAGAAUUUGAGAGAAUUGUCUCCAAUUACGAGGAAUUAUCACGCUAAUUGAAGGCAUAAUCACAAACUCAUUAUUAUUAUUAAUAUAUAUAUAUAUAUAUAUAUAUAUAUAUAUAUAUAUAUAUAUAUAUAUAUAUACAUGUGUGCCUAUUUGUGUUUCACGACAAAAUUUUAUAUACUAUGUGAAUUUCAUAUUUUGAAUUGUUGCUAAACAAAUGAAUGGUGGUAAUUUUUCAUGAUUAGUGAGGUUUUAGUUGUAUAUAAACAGGAAAUUGCAUGCUAAUUACAGUUAAAAAGUAGAAAAUUUUGACAGUAUAUGUAUUUCUUACGGGGCUUAUGUAAGUAGCAAUUAUGAUGAUCAAUUAUUGUGUGAAAUUGAACGGUGACUAUGUUAGUUAGUUUGUUAAGAAUUAUAGAAAAAUUAGAUCAAAAGAAUCAAAUUGGUGUAUCAUUAUGAUUAUAGUGUUCACUGUGUCAAGAAAUAUCAAAAUGGAGUUUUUGGUUUUAAAAAUAUGCUAUUCCAGUAUUUAAUUUUUUUAGAAUUAUGAUUUAAGUUGUGUUAAUAUAGUAUUGGUAUGCUUGAUGAAGUUUAUGUGUAAUUUGCAUAAGUUAUACAUGUUAAUUGGUGUUAGAAAUUAAGAUAUAGCUUUGUUCUAUGUUUUGUUUUGGGUGUUCUGUAAUUCGGAGCCUCAGCGCCAAGUUUCGCACCCCUGCUCUGAAUUUCGCGCCUCAGCACCAAAAAUAGCCCAAAACUUUGCGCCCCAGCGCUGAAAUUCACGCCCCAGUGCUGGAAUUCGCGCCCCAACGCCACUGUCUCGCGCCCCAGCGCUGGAAAAGUGGUCUAGGUCGUGCAGUUUUGACCCCCUGCAGUAAAAUUGUCAUAACGUUUUCAUACGAACUCCGAUUAAGGUGAUUAAAUAUGAUCCAAAACGAGGACGAAUAGACCUACAACUUUUAUUCUUUAAGUUUUGCAAUUUGAGGUCGGUAACAGGGGUCAAAAUGGUCUUUUGUGGGACUUAUAUGUAUUAGGAGGCAAUCGGAGGGCAUCAGGAAUGCACAUAUGCAAAUAUAGUGCUCCUGACGAUAAAAGAUGUUGUCCUAUGUUAUAAAACAUGAGUAUUAGUAAAUAUAAGAUGCUUAAAAUUAAUAAAUGAUGUAUUAGAUAAGUUGUAUAAGCAUACUAAGCACACACGUGAGAGACGAAUCGGGCAUGUGACGAAAGAACGUCGAAACGUCGUACCAAGUGUUAAUGAACUUAAAAAGUGUUUCAAUUCAAUUGAAAUGAAUAUUAUAAGCUAUGGAAUGGAUUUAAUAUAAAACCAAUAAGUAGUCCUAGAAAGACUUAAGCACUUGAAUGAACUUCGAGUUUGACUAAGAAGAAAUAUAGUGAGUAAUAAGUCUAAAGUUAACACAAUCAAAUUGAACAUUAUGUAUUGAUUAAUAGGAAGGGUUAUAGGAUGUAGAUUAAAGUUUACAUUAUAACUACUAUGCGUUGCUAUGUGACUAAUAGUUGAUGUGAAUGAUUAUAUAAUUGUGUAGGGCACGUGAAAUACAGAUAAUUGUAAGCUGUUAAACUGUUAUUGGUAAACAACAAUCAAGGCAAGUCUUUCAGUUCCUAUUUGCUAUUUGAAUUUGAUUGUUUUAAAUCUUUAUUUGCAAAGAGCAGGAUGUGUUAUAUAUAUGUUGAAUGUAUGAAAUGUUAAAGUCAAUUUAUGACUACGUUGUUUGACUAAAGCAUGCUGAUUGAGUAAGGAACUCAAUCUUUAUAAUUGUUAUAUGAAUUGUAGCAUGUAUGUUAUAUGUUGAGCAUGUUAUUAUGUGCUACAUGAUGCAUGAAAACUGUUAGAUUUUGCUGGGCUGUCGAGCUCAACCUUGCAAAUAACCACUUUUGCAGGUUCAAGAUUCAAGGUAAAGUUAUGUCUUACUUGAAAGAUAUGAAUCAGAUGUGAUACUUGAAGAAUUAUAUACUUUGGCUGAGUUAUGAUUAUUUGAACCAUGUUUAAAGUUCCGAACAACGUAUAAAUAUUGAAUUGUAAUAACGUUUUACGAUGUAAACUAAUGUAGUAUUAAAAUGAUUCUGAGAUAUUUAGAUGUAAAGGUUGAAGGUUUUGGGAAUGAGGAUAGUUUGUAAUAUAAAAUUUUAAUUAUUCCGCAAAUUUCAAUGGUUAUAUUAUCGUUUAAUGAUGUAAAAUUAGAGGUUGAAUGUAUUAUUAAUGACCGAAUUCGAGAAUUAAAUUGUAUGAAUUUUGGGGUCGUUUCAGAUCUGAUCUCCCCCAUCAAUGAGAGUAUGUAGGCAACCAUC
Molecule: long non-coding RNA, 7779 nt
Filed under: Panax ginseng (ginseng)
Lineage: Eukaryota; Viridiplantae; Streptophyta; Magnoliopsida; Apiales; Araliaceae
Description: long non-coding RNA (PGIN_LNC018585)
Source: RNAcentral